GCUUCGGCUCCGGCGCAAAGAGAGGCCCAAGUGAGAUUAGCUAGUUGGUAAGGUAACGGCUUACCAAGGCGACGAUCUCUAGCUGUUCUGAGAGGAAGAUCAGCCACACUGGGACUGAGACACGGCCCAGACUCCUACGGGAGGCAGCAGUGGGGAAUAUUGCACAAUGGGGGAAACCCUGAUGCAGCCAUGCCGCGUGUGUGAAGAAGGCCUUCGGGUUGUAAAGCACUUUCAGUUGUGAGGAAAAGUUAGUAGUUAAUACCUGCUAGCCGUGACGUUAACAACAGAAGAAGCACCGGCUAACUCCGUGCCAGCAGCCGCGGUAAUACGGAGGGUGCGAGCGUUAAUCGGAAUUACUGGGCGUAAAGCGCACGCAGGCGGUUUGUUAAGCUAGAUGUGAAAGCCCCGGGCUCAACCUGGGAUGGUCAUUUAGAACUGGCAGACUAGAGUCUUGGAGAGGGGAGUGGAAUUCCAGGUGUAGCGGUGAAAUGCGUAGAUAUCUGGAGGAACAUCAGUGGCGAAGGCGACUCCCUGGCCAAAGACUGACGCUCAUGUGCGAAAGUGUGGGUAGCGAACAGGAUUAGAUACCCUGGUAGUCCACACCGUAAACGCUGUCUACUAGCUGUGUGUGUCUUUAAGACGUGCGUAGCGAAGCUAACGCGCUAAGUAGACCGCCUGGGGAGUACGGCCGCAAGGUUAAAACUC
RNAcentral lists this ribosomal RNA (705 nucleotides) under Alteromonas sp. 35E9. RNAcentral describes it as "bacterial SSU rRNA". It matches the Rfam family "Bacterial small subunit ribosomal RNA", at positions 202 to 902 of the family's 1533-position model. Lineage: Bacteria; Pseudomonadati; Pseudomonadota; Gammaproteobacteria; Alteromonadales; Alteromonadaceae. The record is from RNAcentral.